Paramuricea clavata is the source of this 914-nucleotide non-coding RNA. NCBI's taxonomy places the organism in Eukaryota, Metazoa, Cnidaria, Anthozoa, Malacalcyonacea, Plexauridae. The record is from the annotation of a GenBank genome assembly.
CAAUUUUAAACAUUCAAAAAAUGAUCCUCUUGAUUGUUCAAUUCAUAAAUUUUUAUCCAAAAAGCCGCAAUAAAAAGCAACAGUUCGUGUUUAUCAGGACGCCAUUUUGCUAGCAAUUGUCAUGGCGUGAGCAUGAUGUGUACAUCUAGGGAAAUUUGAGGACACGAAGUCCUAUUACGUUACACAUCUGGUAUAUACAUAAUCUGUGUCCAGGUGGCCAUAUGGUACAUUUGUGUCUAGUUUCGCUCAUAUAAUUCUGAUUUUUGUUUUCAGCUGUUGUACCAUACGAUAAAGAACGAUCAAGGAAUACGUCCGGUAUCAUAGUUGGUGUGUCAGUUUCGUUUCUAUUUCUCGUCAUACUUGUCAUUGCUUUGUUUGUGUGGCGACGUCGACCUACUCAUUCCUACAUACGCCAGACGACUAGCAACGACCAUGGGGAUGGUCCAACUGAAACCAAACUAUAGAUUUGUUUGCAUUUGAAUGUAACCAUCUAGUGGAAUAAAAGUAUCUUAAUUAAUUUAUUUCCUUCUGAACCAUAUAUUGCACGAUUGUGAACCAAAAGAUAUUUUACUCUUCCUAACGCAAUGAAUUUUACUCGUAAAUGGUAGAAUGAUCUGACAGGAAAGGAUGAACUCCUUCAUGUAACUGUAGUUAAAUAUAGAUUGACGGAUACCUGCUUUUCAGAAUUUAGUGUUUAUUCUGUUUAACGUGCCAGGAAAUGCUACUUGUAAAGGGGAGAACUCUCCUACGGGAAUGGCGUAGGCAGGAACUCUUUGAUGCCACUGGGUGCUUUAGUAUAUUUUUAUAACAGUUAAAAAAACUGUAAUUUUUAGUUAAUAAACAGUUUUAGCAAAGAUAAAAUUUCAUGCAAAAUUGUGAGAUAGCCUGACAGGUUAAUUAAAUAUUUUAACUGU